RNAcentral lists this long non-coding RNA (1492 nucleotides) under Monodelphis domestica (gray short-tailed opossum). Its description in RNAcentral is "lncRNA (ENSMODG00000042988.1)". The record is from RNAcentral. Lineage: Eukaryota; Metazoa; Chordata; Mammalia; Didelphimorphia; Didelphidae.
UUUACAUAUGGAUGUAUGUGUACAUGCUUAUAAUUGAUGAAAUCUUAAUGAGAACAUUAGUGGAACAUGAAUCUUUGAUAAUUUUUCUGAUCAGAAUAGUUAUUAACUCCAUGUUCUCCUGAAUUAAUUCCAGAGCUUUAAGACAUGUGAAGAAUAUAAACACCUUUAGGGCAGUGACUAUUUGUUUUUGCAUUUUAUUUAUAUCCCCAGUGGCAAUACAGUGCCUACUACAUAGUAGGCACUCAAAAAUGUGGAAAGUAAGAAAGGUAGAGACAAAGACAGAGACAGAGACAGACAAAGUGGAUGGAUAGAUAGAGGUAUCCAUAUUUUGAUCAGGGAGUUCACUGCUUUUUUGUGGAUCAAUAUGCAAGAAAUAAAAUGAUGUCCGAGAGAUAAUGUGAAUUUGUCUUGUUAUAGAUAACAUCUAAUUGCAUUUAAUGCAAUUAAAAUUAUUCCUCCUAAUAAUUUUUACUAAUUAAUAUUUAACUCCCUGAAAUGAUAGCGACAACAUUGUCAUUACCACAGAAUAUUUGUUUCCCCACCCCAAUUCCAACUACUGAAAUUGACCUCUGCUUCAAGGGUCAGUUAAAAUUUUGCUACAUAUAGAUGCACUUUUCCCCUUUCUCCUAACUACCAAUGAAAAAUAAACUAUUAAAAAUAUGAAUAAAGCUUUAGCUAUGAAAGGACAUCUCUGCAGCCAUCUAGUUAAAUAUCCUAAUUUUUAUAGAUAAGAUAAAGAAACUGAGAUAUAGUUUAGGUGUUGAUUUCCACAAAUAAGUAUUAAACUGUCAUUUCUCCUUCUUCAUAAAGUCAUCCAUCUAGAGAUGAAAGGACCUCAGUGGCUAUGUAGUACAAUUCUCUCAUUUUACAGAUGAAGAAAUGGGGCCCAAGGAAGGGAGGCACCUUGUCCAAGUAUCACAAAGGUGCUGUGGGAUGGACCAGCCUCUCACAGGGGAUAGGGUCUUGUAGGUGGGAUGAUGUCAGUGAAAUGAUGGAUGGGAUCCAGCUUUUGCAUUCAACCCACAGCACAGGUUUCAUAGAAUAAACUGCUCUACCUUUACUGAGGCCUGGCUUUAUUUUAUAGCCUCAUGAUCAUACAUCUACUUAGCACACAGUUUCAUUCUCAACAUACAUGUUUCCAUAGAACUUAACAACAGACAGGUAACCUAGGGAGAUAGUCAAUGAAACAUUGUUGCUAAGGGCAAGAUCAGUGGGUAGAAUCAACAUGAACCAGAUAUAGGUUAGGGAAUUCAGAGCAUAGAUUUACCAGAAGUUUUUAUUCCUAGAAAAGAGGGUCCUAUCUAAGUGGGUAUAUAAGAAUCCUUAGGUUUAGUUUUGUAAGUGGGCUCUCCUGGUAAUAUCCUGGGGGGACAGAGUGGGACAUCUGUAUUAACCCUGCAAGUAUGUUGCUCUCAUCUAUUUUUCCUGGGGCUAAGUAAGAAUAAUAAUCAUGGCAAUUCCAAUAAUAAAGGGAUGUUAAUAAUGAAAGUCA